ACUAAUUUGGGCCAAAUGCAAUAACCUCAACUUUUUGGGCUAUGUUGCAAAACACAAACUUUUGAGGUUACUUUGUAAGAACACAAAAGUCCACUACUUCAUGUAAUUACAACUAGAACCCAAAAAAUUCAUCAAAUACAAAAACUUCAUUAAAGGAGCAAAACAAUUUGUCCUUUAGUGAUUUUGGGCCUUUACGUAAAAACGUAAACUUUCGAGUCAAAGUACAAAUACAUAAAAGUAUCAAAACUUUAUGUAAUUACAUAAAAGCCCCAAAAGUACCCUACAUGUAGGGUGGCCAGUCAUGGUAGUGUGAGGGAGUGGUUUUUUGAUAAAAAAUAAUGUUAUAAAGUCAUGCAAGUUGAAAAUGAUGGGUUAUGGGUGGUGUGAAAAAGUAGGUAUAUGUGUGUAAGAAAAAAGUACCAAUUAUGUACAAAAAAUUCAAACACUAUCAACAUUUCAAUCACCUUUUCAAAUAAAUGUCUUGUUGAUAGAAAAGUCACACCAACCAACACAAAACAAAGACUUUAUGUAAUCAACCAAAAACUUUGAAUCAAAAACACCAAACUUUUUGUUCUUGGUAAGAACAUCAAGAACAUUGAAGAUCACACAUGAAAACUCAUAAGAGCUCCAUGAAUGUUUUCACUCAAUAAAAUUCAAAAUUUCAGUACUCAAAAGGGGGUUAACAUAGGGUACUUAGGGGUUCCAAAAGUCACCUUAAAGCACUUUUAACAAGACAAACAAGAACUCAAAAAACCACCCUUUGGAUUUGGCCGAAUUUCCCCAAAAACAUGGCACCAAAUUUUAGCUCCAAAAUUCAUGCUCAUAUGAACUACAUCUAUAACAUUUGAGAUGGCAAAUUUUCUAAAUAAAUUUACAUUCAAAGAAGCAAGAAUAAAGCUUGUAACAAUUACAACAUUCAAAACAAGACUAUA
Molecule: long non-coding RNA, 932 nt
Filed under: Malus domestica (apple)
Lineage: Eukaryota; Viridiplantae; Streptophyta; Magnoliopsida; Rosales; Rosaceae
Description: long non-coding RNA (MDOM_LNC018597)
Source: RNAcentral